Molecule: ribosomal RNA, 484 nt
Filed under: uncultured bacterium
Lineage: Bacteria
Description: bacterial SSU rRNA
Rfam family: Bacterial small subunit ribosomal RNA
Source: RNAcentral
AUUGAACGCUGGCGGCAUGCUUUACACAUGCAAGUCGAACGGUAACAGGGAGCUUGCUCCGCUGACGAGUGGCGAACGGGUGAGUAAUGCAUCGGAACGUACCCAGUCGUGGGGGAUAACGUAGCGAAAGUUACGCUAAUACCGCAUACGUCCUGAGGGAGAAAGCGGGGGACCGUAAGGCCUCGCGCGAUUGGAGCGGCCGAUGUCGGAUUAGCUAGUUGGUAGGGUAAAGGCCUACCAAGGCGACGAUCCGUAGCGGGUCUGAGAGGAUGAUCCGCCACACUGGGACUGAGACACGGCCCAGACUCCUACGGGAGGCAGCAGUGGGGAAUUUUGGACAAUGGGCGAAAGCCUGAUCCAGCCAUGCCGCGUGAGUGAAGAAGGCCUUCGGGUUGUAAAGCUCUUUCAGACGGAAAGAAAUCGCAUCUUCUAAUACAGGGUGUGGAUGACGGUACCGUAAGAAGAAGCACCGGCUAACUACGUG